This 500-nucleotide ribosomal RNA is filed under the name uncultured bacterium. Its description in RNAcentral is "partial 16S ribosomal RNA". It matches the Rfam family "Bacterial small subunit ribosomal RNA", at positions 30 to 523 of the family's 1533-position model. The record is from RNAcentral.
AUUGAACGCUGGCGGCAGGCCUAACACAUGCAAGUCGAGCGGAUGACGGGAGCUUGCUCCUUGAUUCAGCGGCGGACGGGUGAGUAAUGCCUAGGAAUCUGCCUGGUAGUGGGGGACAACGUUUCGAAAGGAACGCUAAUACCGCAUACGUCCUACGGGAGAAAGCAGGGGACCUUCGGGCCUUGCGCUAUCAGAUGAGCCUAGGUCGGAUUAGCUAGUAGGUGAGGUAAUGGCUCACCUAGGCGACGAUCCGUAACUGGUCUGAGAGGAUGGUCAGUCACACUGGAACGGAGACACGGUCCAGACUCCUACGGGAGGCAGCAGUGGGGAAUAUUGGACAAUGGGCGAAAGCCUGAUCCAGCCAUGCCGCGUGUGUGAAGAAGGUCUUCGGAUUGUAAAGCACUUUAAGUUGGGAGGAAGGGUUGUACGUUAAUACCGUGCAAUUUUGACGUUACCGACAGAAUAAGCACCGGCUAACUCUGUGCCAGCCGCCGCCGUAA